GGGUGGCGUGGUUGGUCCUGGUAGUUGUGGUCGUGCUGACCGUAUUCACCACGGUCCUGGGUCUGAUCUACAGGAGGACACGCUGCUGCCCAAAGGAGCCCAGGGUGUAUCCAGUCAGUGUGUUCCAGACCAGAGGAUUCAACAUGGACCUCCCUCAUGUCUCUGUUUCACUACAUCACUCCUCAGAGCUGCUGCUCUGUGGAUACAGGACUACCCACUGGACAGGCCUGUUGUCACCUAUUCAUGAAGAGAAUACUGCAGAGGAGGAGCCUCAUCAGGGUUACUAUGGUAAUGAAACAGCGCUCCACCACCGCGGCCACCCUCUCCCCUCAUCCCUUUCUCCUGAAGAGCUCUAGAUGAACAGAGCAGAAGACAGGAACAACAAGACAUUUCUCCCUUUUAACGUCUUGACUUUUUUUUUUUGUAUUAACAAAUGAAUGGGGUCCCUGAAUGGGGUCCCUGAAUGGGGAACCCUGAAUGGGGUCCCUGAAUGGGGUCCCUGAAUGGGGAACCCUGAAUGGGGUCCAUGAAUGGGGUCCCUGAAUGGGGAACCCUGAAUGCGGAACCCUGAAUGGGGUCCCUGAAUGGGGAACCCUGAAUGGGGUCCCUGAAUGGGGUCCCUGAAUGGGGAACCCUGAAUGGGGUCCCUGAAUGGGGUCCCUGAAUGCUGCCUUGAUGGUGUGGGAGCUGGGGGGGGGGGUUAUUAACAUCCUCCUGGGUCCUGGAAAUCCUCAAAAGUCCCCACAAGGACAGUAAAACAAGGACAUUUCUCCCUCGUGGGGAUAUUUCCCAGGUCCCCACGAGGACAAAGGUUAUUUUAGAUUUACGAUUAGGGAAAAUAGGACUUUUUUAUGGAAAUACAUUGUGUGUGUGUGUGUGUGUGUGUGUGUGUGUGUAGUGUGUGUGCGUGUGCGUGUGUGUGUGUGUGUGUAGUGUGUGUGUGUGUGUGUGUGUGUAGUGUGUGUGUAGUGUGUGUGUA
Non-coding RNA from Salmo salar (Atlantic salmon), 979 nucleotides. NCBI's taxonomy places the organism in Eukaryota, Metazoa, Chordata, Actinopteri, Salmoniformes, Salmonidae. The record is from RefSeq and is a predicted model, not a curated record.